Molecule: ribosomal RNA, 253 nt
Filed under: uncultured bacterium
Lineage: Bacteria
Description: partial 16S ribosomal RNA
Rfam family: Bacterial small subunit ribosomal RNA
Source: RNAcentral
UACGUAGGGGGCAAGCGUUGUCCGGAAUCAUUGGGCGUAAAGAGCGUGUAGGCGGUUUGGUAAGUCGGAUGUGAAAGCCCCGGGCUCAACCCGGGAAGUGCACUCGAUACUGCCAAGCUAGAGUAUCGGAGAGGUUGGUGGAAUUCUCGGUGUAGAGGUGAAAUUCGUAGAUAUCGAGAGGGACACCGGUGGCGAAGGCGGCCAACUGGACGAAUACUGACGCUGAGACUCGAAAGCGUGGGGAGCAAACAGG